Small nucleolar RNA from Dioscorea cayenensis subsp. rotundata (Guinea yam), 107 nucleotides. The record is from RefSeq and is a predicted model, not a curated record. NCBI's taxonomy places the organism in Eukaryota, Viridiplantae, Streptophyta, Magnoliopsida, Dioscoreales, Dioscoreaceae.
AGACUAUGUUUCGGACACUUUCUCAGGAGCUCCUUGAACCUUUCCAAUGUCUUGAAUAGAGACUCCAGUUCUAACUGAACAAAGGACGAGAUCUCAUUCCUAAGCUU